ACAAAAAAAUUUAAAAAAUAUAGAUUUUGCUAAUUCAACAUCCGCUCUCAAAUUAGGUGUGCUAUCAAAUUCUAUACUAUCCUCACUUAAACUCAUUUUGUCUAGUAGGUAACUUGUUUAUAAAUAAUUUAAAAAGAACAGUCAAUUCGCGCCUUUUAAUAAUAUGAAGAAAAAAAAACUCCGAAUGAUGC
Molecule: long non-coding RNA, 191 nt
Organism: Maniola jurtina (meadow brown)
Lineage: Eukaryota; Metazoa; Arthropoda; Insecta; Lepidoptera; Nymphalidae
Exons: 3
Source: RefSeq, a predicted model, not a curated record